AAUUUUUGGUUGCAUUUCAACAGAAAACUUCAAACAGCUGAGCAAUGCUGGACUUUGGAGCCUUAAUUCCCAGUUUAGAAACGAUGACGUCACGGCCCCGAGGCCCCCGGGGCCCGCCUGAACUGGGUCUGGACUCCAGCUGGCACAGGCGCUGAGCGCCAAUCGCCUGGCCUCAUCCCGUAAACGGCGGCAGGUUUGCAGAACUACCUGACCGCAGGACACCAACGAAGAAGAACUGUCCUCGUGCUCGGCAGCUUUCAAAACCGCCUGGAGCAACAAACCUGGUUUCAACACCUGCAGCUGAACCUCCAGCUUCCUGUUCUGACAGGAUGACGUCUCAUCGCGCUCCCUGUCCGCCUCCAUCUGCAGUUGUUUUGAUCCUAAAUGUGACCCAACCUGAAACCAAAUUGAUUCUCCAGGCUUUUGAAAACUUUCCUCUGGCUCAUUGUAUAACAUGAGGU
Long non-coding RNA from Poecilia latipinna (sailfin molly), 461 nucleotides. RefSeq lists it as uncharacterized. The record is from RefSeq and is a predicted model, not a curated record. NCBI's taxonomy places the organism in Eukaryota, Metazoa, Chordata, Actinopteri, Cyprinodontiformes, Poeciliidae. The transcript is spliced from 3 exons.